RNAcentral lists this long non-coding RNA (1189 nucleotides) under Olea europaea subsp. europaea. Lineage: Eukaryota; Viridiplantae; Streptophyta; Magnoliopsida; Lamiales; Oleaceae. The record is from RNAcentral.
CUUUUCCUUAGCCCUAUUUCCCACAACAGUUGUAUUCUUCCUCCAAGGCACCUCAGUAAGUUCCACAGCGCCGCACCUAAUCUCAAAUCGUUCGUUCGACGCCGGCAACGCUGCGUUAGUAGCUGCACUAGAAGGAUCCAACCUCUCCGUUCGUCAUACAUCUACACAAAGUAAGUUCUAAUCAUGCUGAGAUCUUUUUUUUUUUUUGGUCUUUUCCCGUUUCAGUUGUCAUAUGCUUGUUUAAUGAUGAACUCUUGAGAAUUUUUUUUUUUUUUUGUUCUUUUCCCAUUUCCUUAAAUUUUGAUUUUUUUUGUUUUCUAAGAAUUUGUCGACUUUUGGAUGGGUCUGCUUUUAAUGUUUUGAUUAGGGUUUUUUGUGAUAGUAUAGAAUUGCAAGUGUGAUUAUGCAAUAGCGUAGUUUCAGUUUUAUGAUUUACAUGUAUGGAAAAAUUAACGUGCUUAGAGUAUGUUGUUCUGCCAAUUUAGAUCAACUAUCGACCUCCCUCAUCCCAAGCGGUGAAACUAUUGGUAAUUAAUCAACUACUUAACUAUAUAGGUAUGUUUGCUAUAUUGAGCAGAAUUGGACACAGCCAUUACAACAUAAGAGAAAAGAAGUUAAAAUCAUGAUUUAGGUAUAAGAAUGCUCUUCACUUUAAUAUUUUAACAUGAAUUGGAUACUGCAUUGCUGGUAAGUACAAUUUGCACAUUCCAUCUACAUCUUUUUGUCAUAUGACUGUGUCUAAUUUAUUUGUGAAAUUAUACUUGGGGAAUUCAAGUGGCACAAUUGGACUAAGUAAUUCUACUCAAUGUUGAGGCAGCUAUUACAUGAUUUUUCAUUGUUUUUUAAAGGAGGUGAAGAAUCAUAUGACGAACGAACGAAGAAUCAUAUGAAGAACGAAGGAGGUGAAGAACUAUUUGCCACGUUUCAAUCACGCUGCCAAUAAUCUGAUCAACAGGAUGGGAAUAUUUCUUUCAAUGUGAAAAUACACAAAGGAAGAGCAAAUGCGGACGGAGAUAAGAAGGGAAAGGGGCAUGAAUGUGUUGUAAUAGUUAAAUAUAAUGACCUUGUUUUACUUAUGCAUUUGACGGAUAUAGUAGUUUCUUUGGAAUGUAGUAGUGAAGUACUUUCGUUUUGUAAUUGUAGUUUUUGUAUAAAGACUUUAUUUCCUAUGUGUAUAUGGUAGUAGUUG